GACGAACGCUGGCGGCGUGCUUAACACAUGCAAGUCGAACGGAAAGGCCCUGCUUUUGUGGGGUGCUCGAGUGGCGAACGGGUGAGUAACACGUGAGUAACCUGCCCUUGACUUUGGGAUAACUUCAGGAAACUGGGGCUAAUACCGGAUAGGAGCUCCUGCUGCAUGGUGGGGGUUGGAAAGUUUCGGCGGUUGGGGAUGGACUCGCGGCUUAUCAGCUUGUUGGUGGGGUAGUGGCUUACCAAGGCUUUGACGGGUAGCCGGCCUGAGAGGGUGACCGGCCACAUUGGAACUGAGAUACGGCCCAGACUCCUACGGGAGGCAGCAGUGGGGAAUAUUGCACAAUGGGCGGAAGCCUGAUGCAGCAACGCCGCGUGCGGGAGGACGGCCUUCGGGUUGUAAACCGCUUUCGCCUGUGACGAAGCGUGAGUGACGGUAAUGGGUAAAGAAGCACCGGCUAACAACGU
This 467-nucleotide ribosomal RNA is filed under the name uncultured bacterium. RNAcentral's name for it is "partial 16S ribosomal RNA". It matches the Rfam family "Bacterial small subunit ribosomal RNA", at positions 28 to 506 of the family's 1533-position model. The record is from RNAcentral.